RNAcentral lists this ribosomal RNA (216 nucleotides) under Glomeromycotina sp. Its description in RNAcentral is "partial small subunit ribosomal RNA". The stretch from base 44 to 216 matches the Rfam family "Eukaryotic small subunit ribosomal RNA", at positions 690 to 864 of the family's 1831-position model. Lineage: Eukaryota; Fungi; Glomeromycota. The record is from RNAcentral.
GGGUCAGUAGGUUGGUCGUGCCACCGGUACGUACUGGUCUCACUGAUUCCUCCUUCCUGAAGAACCGUAAUGCCAUUAAUUUGGUGUUGCGGGGAAACAGGACUGUUACUUUGAAAAAAUUAGAGUGUUCAAAGCAAGCUAGCCCUUGAAUACAUUAGCAUGGAAUAAUGAAAUAGGACGAUCGAUCCUAUUUUGUUGGUUUCUAGGAUUGACGUA